RNAcentral lists this ribosomal RNA (489 nucleotides) under uncultured Lake Michigan sediment bacterium LMBA1. RNAcentral's name for it is "bacterial SSU rRNA". It matches the Rfam family "Bacterial small subunit ribosomal RNA", at positions 28 to 521 of the family's 1533-position model. The record is from RNAcentral. Lineage: Bacteria; Pseudomonadati; Bacteroidota.
GACGAACGCUGGCGGCGUGCUUAACACAUGCAAGUYUACGAGAUAAGGUAGCAAUAUCUUUAGUAAGUGGCGCACGGGUGAGUAACACGUAAGUAACCUACCUUGGAUUUGGAAUAACCCCGAGAAAUCGGGGCUAAUACCGAAUUAUGCAGCGGCACCACUGGUGAUGUUGUUAAAGUCUAUAUGACGUCUAAAGAUGGGCUUGCGUCUGAUUAGCUAGUGGUGAGGUAACGGCCCACCAAGGCUACGAUCAGUAGCUGGUCUGAGAGGAUGAUCAGCACACUGGAACUGUGACACGGUCCAGACUCCUACGGGAGGCAGCAGUGAGGAAUAUUGGGAAUGCCCGGAAGGUGACCCAGCAACGCCGCGUGGAGGAUGAAGGCCGUAAGGUUGUAAAUCCUGUUAGAGGGGAAGAAAAAUCUCGAUCAAAUCGAGAACUGACUGUACCCUCAGAGAAGCCCCGGCUAACUACGUGCCAGCAGCCGCGGU